RNAcentral lists this long non-coding RNA (346 nucleotides) under Mytilus galloprovincialis (Mediterranean mussel). The record is from RNAcentral. Lineage: Eukaryota; Metazoa; Mollusca; Bivalvia; Mytilida; Mytilidae.
AUCAGAUCUAUAAAUUAAGACCUAUCAGAUGUAGAGUUUCUGUUCAUAUUGGGUGGAUGGGCUUUCAUGGGAAAAAUUUACCUAUCAGAAUUUUUUACUGCAAGGAUUGUACCCAUCAGAAUUAUAAAUACAAUACCAGAUAAUGCAUGAUACGAAACUGUCUACAUUCCAAAGCACCCCUAAGAUCUGAAAUAGGUAUUUUUUGUAACCCCUAAGAUGUCAUUAUUUUUAAUUAUUUACUGCUGCAAGACGCUCAGAAAUUUUUGCGUAUAAGUGUACGUGUCAAAUGAAAAAACCUAAAAUUUCACCCCUAAGAUGUAUAAAUUUUACACCUCUCAGAAAGGAC